Molecule: ribosomal RNA, 460 nt
Filed under: uncultured bacterium
Lineage: Bacteria
Description: partial 16S ribosomal RNA
Rfam family: Bacterial small subunit ribosomal RNA
Source: RNAcentral
CCUACGGGGGGCAGCAGUGAGGAAUAUUGGUCAAUGGACGAGAGUCUGAACCAGCCAAGUAGCGUGAAGGAUGACUGCCCUAUGGGUUGUAAACUUCUUUUAUAUGGGAAUAAAAUGUUCCACGUGUGGGAUUUUGUAUGUACCAUAUGAAUAAGGAUCGGCUAACUCCGUGCCAGCAGCCGCGGUAAUACGGAGGAUCCGAGCGUUAUCCGGAUUUAUUGGGUUUAAAGGGAGCGUAGGUGGAUUGUUAAGUCAGUUGUGAAAGUUUGCGGCUCAACCGUAAAAUUGCAGUUGAAACUGGCAGUCUUGAGUACGGUAGAGGUGGGCGGAAUUCGUGGUGUAGCGGUGAAAUGCUUAGAUAUCACGAAGAACUCCGAUUGCGAAGGCAGUUCACUGGACUGCAACUGACACUGAGGCUCGAAAGUGUGGGUAUCAAACAGGAUUAGAUACCCCAGUAGUC